Heterocephalus glaber (naked mole-rat) is the source of this 72-nucleotide non-coding RNA. The record is from Rfam. Lineage: Eukaryota; Metazoa; Chordata; Mammalia; Rodentia; Bathyergidae.
GCGGGUGUAGCUCAAUGGUAUAGUGCUUGCCUGGUAUUCGAGAGGCCCUGGGUUCCAUCCCCAGCUUCGCCA